CAUAUCAAUAAGCGGAGGAAAAGAAACCAACAGGGAUUGCCUCAGUAACGGCGAGUGAAGCGGCAACAGCUCAAAUUUGAAAUCUGGCCUCGGCCCGAGUUGUAAUUUGUAGAGGAAGCUUUUGGUGCGGCACCGACCGAGUCCCCUGGAACGGGGCGCCAUAGAGGGUGAGAGCCCCGUAUGGUUGGACGCCUAUCCUCUGUAAAGCUCCUUCGACGAGUCGAGUAGUUUGGGAAUGCUGCUCAAAAUGGGAGGUAAAUUUCUUCUAAAGCUAAAUACUGGCCAGAGACCGAUAGCGCACAAGUAGAGUGAUCGAAAGAUGAAAAGCACUUUGAAAAGAGGGUUAAAUAGCACGUGAAAUUGUUGAAAGGGAAGCGCUUGUGACCAGACUUGCGCCUCGUCGAUCAUCCGGGGUUCUCCCCGGUGCACUCGGCGGGGCUCAGGCCAGCAUCGGUUUUCGCGGGGGGACAAAGGUCCCGGGAACGUAGCUCCUCCGGGAGUGUUAUAGCCCGGGGCGCAAUGCCCUCGCGGGGACCGAGGACCGCGCUUCGGCAAGGAUGCUGGCGUAAUGGUCACCAGCGACCCGUCUUGAAACACGGACCAAGGAGUCAAGGUUUUGCGCGAGUGUUUGGGUGUAAAACCCGCACGCGUAAUGAAAGUGAACGUAGGUGAGAGCUUCGGCGCAUCAUCGACCGAUCCUGAUGUAUUCGGAUGGAUUUGAGUAGGAGCGUUAAGCCUUGGACCCGAAAGAUGGUGAACUAUGCUUGGAUAGGGUGAAGCCAGAGGAAACUCUGGUGGAGGCUCGCAGCGGUUCUGACGUGCAAAUCGAUCGUCAAAUCUGAGCAUGGGGGCGAAAGACUAAUCGAACCAUCUAGUAGCUGGU
RNAcentral lists this ribosomal RNA (883 nucleotides) under Podospora sp. L12 ZW-2013. RNAcentral's name for it is "eukaryotic LSU rRNA". It matches the Rfam family "Eukaryotic large subunit ribosomal RNA", at positions 39 to 955 of the family's 3401-position model. The record is from RNAcentral. Lineage: Eukaryota; Fungi; Ascomycota; Sordariomycetes; Sordariales; Podosporaceae.